GUAAUGAAAGACUAGUAUUAUUUUUUAUCCGUUUGGUUUAAUGUUUUUAUUACAUGGAUAUGCAUUUUGCCACAAAAGAGGAUAACUGCAAGGAACCUCUAAAGAGAUGUUCUUCUUUAUUCAGGCCCCAGUGCGGAGCUUAAGAAGGGGCAGACUGAGGGACGUUUGUUUUCCAGCAGUAGGUUGAAGACGAUCGGGGCAGAAAUGAAAGAAUAGAGAGACAAGUGCAUAAUAUGUGCAAGCAAAUGCAUUCGUCAACUUAUUCAUAUAAACUUUAAACAGCAACAAGUAAUGCAACCCUCUCCCUCUCUAACUCGAUUCACUCUCUCAUGUAAUGCAAUUCUAAGUUCAAAACCAAAGUUAAUCUCCCUAAACGUUUAUGCGCAAAAACUUGAGAUCAGACGUCAUUCUUUUUCAGCGUUGGCUUCUCCCCUUUGAAAAUCAGAACAAGGAUACCAGGAAACUAAUCGCUAUCAGAAGAGUAUGAACUAUUUGAGUUGUCAUCGGAAUCCGAGGAAUAAUCACUGCUGGAAUCAGAGUUUCCUCCAACGAAAUUGAAUUUUGUUGGAGCUGGGCAAAUCACCGCCAAAUGUUCCUUUAUUUCAUCCUGGUUGAAGUCAGGAUCCUUCAUGCAUUCAAC
Molecule: unclassified non-coding RNA, 640 nt
Filed under: Hevea brasiliensis (rubber tree)
Lineage: Eukaryota; Viridiplantae; Streptophyta; Magnoliopsida; Malpighiales; Euphorbiaceae
Source: RNAcentral